Molecule: ribosomal RNA, 279 nt
Filed under: uncultured bacterium
Lineage: Bacteria
Description: partial 16S ribosomal RNA
Rfam family: Bacterial small subunit ribosomal RNA
Source: RNAcentral
UGCCAGCCGCCGCGGUAAGACGGAGGGUGCAAACGUUGUUCGGAAUCACUGGGCAUAAAGCGCACGUAGGCGGCCAAGUCAGUCUGGUGUGAAAGCCCCCGGCUCAACCGGGGAACUGCAUCGGAUACUGCUUGGCUCGAGGACGGUUGGGGUGAGUGGAACUCCUGGUGGAGCGGCGAAAUGCGUAGAUAUCAGGAGGAACACCAGUGGCGAAAGCGGCUCACUGGACCGUCUCUGACGCUGAGGUGCGAAAGCUAGGGUAGCGAACGGGAUUAGAUA